ACUGAGAACUUCUAUAAAAUUAUAGAACCUUUUAUGCUAAAACUAGUAACAAGAGGUAACCCCUCUCUACAAUGUAGGUAUACGCCAGCAAGAACCCACCACUGGCAACUAACAGAUCUAAAUAAAAGUAGCAACCUCCCCCAAGAAAACCCUACUCCACUCAACUGUUAACCUAAUACCAGAACAUUUCAAGAAAGAUUAAAAGAAAGAGAAGGAAUUCGGCAAACAUUAGCCCCGCCUGUUUACCAAAAACACCGCCUCUUGUCCCUAUAAGAGGUCUAGCCUGCCCAGUGACUUCUGUUCAACGGCCGCGGUAUCCUAACCGUGCAAAGGUAGCGUAAUCACUUGUCUUCUAAAUAGAGACCAGUAUGAAAGGCAUCACGAGGACUAAACUGUCUCCUCUCCCUAAUCAGUGAACCUAAUAACCCCGUGAAGAAGCGGGGAUUUUUAUAUAAGACGAGAAGACCCUAUGGAGCUUAAAACAUCAUAACACCUGCCACCACACCAUAUCUACCCAGGUUUUUCCCGCCCCGUGGCACUCUGAUUAUAUGUUUUUGGUUGGGGUGACCGCGGAGAAAAACCCAUCCUCCACAAUGAAGGGAACUUCCCUAAACAGUAAGCCACAACUUUAUGUAUCAGCAAACUGACAUCCAUUGACCCAAUAUAUUUGACUAACGAACCAAGUUACCCUAGGGAUAACAGCGCAAUCCACUUUGAGAGCCCCUAUCGACAAGUGGGCUUACGACCUCGAUGUUGGAUCGGGGUAUCCUAGUGGUGCAGCCGCUACU
RNAcentral lists this ribosomal RNA (788 nucleotides) under Pristimantis sp. ZSFQ 4453. RNAcentral describes it as "partial large subunit ribosomal RNA". It matches the Rfam family "Bacterial large subunit ribosomal RNA", at positions 1562 to 2566 of the family's 2925-position model. The record is from RNAcentral. Lineage: Eukaryota; Metazoa; Chordata; Amphibia; Anura; Strabomantidae. RNAcentral also lists the same sequence under 1 other name.